AGUUGUAUAGCGCAAUGGUAACGCAUUUGUUUUUGUAACGGAAGGAUUUGGGUUCGAUUUCCGGUGCAACCA
This 72-nucleotide transfer RNA is filed under the name Gaeumannomyces tritici R3-111a-1. RNAcentral's name for it is "tRNA-Gln (TTG) (tRNA-Gln-TTG-20-1)". It matches the Rfam family "tRNA". From Rfam's summary of the family: Transfer RNA (tRNA) molecules are approximately 80 nucleotides in length. Their secondary structure includes four short double-helical elements and three loops (D, anti-codon, and T loops). The record is from Rfam by way of RNAcentral. Lineage: Eukaryota; Fungi; Ascomycota; Sordariomycetes; Magnaporthales; Magnaporthaceae.